UACGUAGGGUGCGAGCGUUGUCCGGAAUUACUGGGCGUAAAGAGCUCGUAGGUGGUUUGUCGCGUUGUUCGUGAAAACCUGAGGCUUAACCUUGGGCGUGCGGGCGAUACGGGCAGACUGGAGUACUGCAGGGGAGACUGGAAUUCCUGGUGUAGCGGUGGAAUGCGCAGAUAUCAGGAGGAACACCGGUGGCGAAGGCGGCCUUCUGGACAAUGACUGACGCUAAAACACGAAAGCGUGGGGAGCAAACAGG
This 253-nucleotide ribosomal RNA is filed under the name uncultured bacterium. RNAcentral's name for it is "partial 16S ribosomal RNA". It matches the Rfam family "Bacterial small subunit ribosomal RNA", at positions 524 to 776 of the family's 1533-position model. The record is from RNAcentral.